RNAcentral lists this ribosomal RNA (463 nucleotides) under uncultured bacterium. Its description in RNAcentral is "bacterial SSU rRNA". It matches the Rfam family "Bacterial small subunit ribosomal RNA", at positions 8 to 507 of the family's 1533-position model. The record is from RNAcentral.
AGAGUUUGAUCAUGGCUCAGGGAUGAAUGCUGGCGGCGUGCCUAAUACAUGCAAGUCGAGCGGUAAGGCCCUUCGGGGUACACGAGCGGCGGACGGCUGAGUAACGCGUGGGAACAUGCCCAAAGUGAGGGAUAACGCACCGAAAGGUGUGCUAAUACCGCAUAUGGUCUUCGGAUUAAAGGAUUUAUCCGCUUUGGGAGUGGCCCGCGUACGAUUAGAUUGUUGGUGAGGUAACGGCUCACCAAGUCGACGAUCGUUAACUGGUCUGAGAGGAUGAUCAGUCAGACUGGAACUGAGACACGGUCCAGACUCCUACGGGAGGCAGCAGUAAGGAAUCUUCCACAAUGGGCGAAAGCCUGAUGGAGCAACGCCGCGUGCAGGAUGAAGGCCCUCGGGUCGUAAACUGCUUUUAUGAGUGAAGAAUAUGACGGUAACUCAUGAAUAAGCACCGGCUAACUACGUG